RNAcentral lists this ribosomal RNA (991 nucleotides) under Bacillus pumilus. Its description in RNAcentral is "bacterial SSU rRNA". It matches the Rfam family "Bacterial small subunit ribosomal RNA", at positions 55 to 1022 of the family's 1533-position model. The record is from RNAcentral. Lineage: Bacteria; Bacillati; Bacillota; Bacilli; Caryophanales; Bacillaceae.
AUGCAAGUCGAAGCGAACAGAAGGGGAAGCUUGGCUCCCGGAUGUUAGCGGCGGACGGGUGAGUAACACGUGGGUAACCUGGCCUGUAAGAACUGGGAUAACUCCGGGAAACCGGAGCUAAUACCGGAUAGUUCCUUGAACCGCAUGGUUCAAGGAUGAAAGACGGUUUCGGCUGUCACUUACAGAUGGACCCGCGGCGCAUUAGCUAGUUGGUGGGGUAAUGGCUCACCAAGGCGACGAUGCGUAGCCGACCUGAGAGGGUGAUCGGCCACACUGGGACUGAGACACGGCCCAGACUCCUACGGGAGGCAGCAGUAGGGAAUCUUCCGCAAUGGACGAAAGUCUGACGGAGCAACGCCGCGUGAGUGAUGAAGGUUUUCGGAUCGUAAAGCUCUGUUGUUAGGGAAGAACAAGUGCGAGAGUAACUGCUCGCACCUUGACGGUACCUAACCAGAAAGCCACGGCUAACUACGUGCCAGCAGCCGCGGUAAUACGUAGGUGGCAAGCGUUGUCCGGAAUUAUUGGGCGUAAAGGGCUCGCAGGCGGUUUCUUAAGUCUGAUGUGAAAGCCCCCGGCUCAACCGGGGAGGGUCAUUGGAAACUGGGAAACUUGAGUGCAGAAGAGGAGAGUGGAAUUCCACGUGUAGCGGUGAAAUGCGUAGAGAUGUGGAGGAACACCAGUGGCGAAGGCGACUCUCUGGUCUGUAACUGACGCUGAGGAGCGAAAGCGUGGGGAGCGAACAGGAUUAGAUACCCUGGUAGUCCACGCCGUAAACGAUGAGUGCUAAGUGUUAGGGGGUUUCCGCCCCUUAGUGCUGCAGCUAACGCAUUAAGCACUCCGCCUGGGGAGUACGGUCGCAAGACUGAAACUCAAAGGAAUUGACGGGGGCCCGCACAAGCGGUGGAGCAUGUGGUUUAAUUCGAAGCAACGCGAAGAACCUUACCAGGUCUUGACAUCCUCUGACAACCCUAGAGAUAGGGCUUUCCCUUCG